UACGGGGGGAGCAAGCGUUGUUCGGAUUUACUGGGCGUAAAGGGCGCGUAGGCGGCGCAACAAGUCACUUGUGAAAUCUCCGGGCUUAACUCGGAGCGGCCAAGUGAUACUGUCGUGCUAGAGUGCGGAAGGGGCUACUGGAAUUCUCGGUGUAGCGGUGAAAUGCGUAGAUAUCGAGAGGAACACCUGCGGCGAAGGCGGGUAGCUGGGCCGACACUGACGCUGAACUGCGAAAGCUAGGGGAGCGAACGGG
RNAcentral lists this ribosomal RNA (253 nucleotides) under uncultured bacterium. RNAcentral describes it as "partial 16S ribosomal RNA". It matches the Rfam family "Bacterial small subunit ribosomal RNA", at positions 524 to 776 of the family's 1533-position model. The record is from RNAcentral.